RNAcentral lists this non-coding RNA (28 nucleotides) under Mus musculus (house mouse). Lineage: Eukaryota; Metazoa; Chordata; Mammalia; Rodentia; Muridae. The record is from RNAcentral.
ACCAGAGGGAUCCUGCUUACUGCUGGGC